AAAUCAUUUAGGAUCAAACGUAAACUGCUUUCUGCGUGCACAUGCACAACCAACACAGGACAUUUCUGAUAUCAGCACCUGCAAAAUUUACAGCUUUUUUUAUUACAGGCCUUUAACUUGACAUCAUAUCAGAUUUCACAUAUACAGUAGAUAUGCAUAAUGUACAGUGUGUUGAAGUGUAUGGAAGUGUGUGGAGUGUGUGGAGUGUGUGGAAGUGUGUGGAAGUGUGUGCAGUGUGUGGGGUGUGUGGAGUGUGUGUGGAGUGUGUGUGGAGUGUGUUGAGUGUGUUGAGUGUGUGUGUGGAUGUGUGUGGAGUGUGUUGAGUGUGUUGAGUGUGUGUGUUGAGUGUGUGUGUGGAGUGUGUUGAGUGUGUUGAGUGUGUGUGUGGAGUGUGUGUGUGGAGUGUGUGUGUGGAGUGUGUUGAGUGUGUUGAGUGUGUUGAGUGUGUGUGUGGAGUGUGUGUGGAGUGUGUUGAGUGUGUUGAGUGUGUGUGUGGAGUGUGUGUGUGGAGUGUGUGUGUGGAGUGUGUGUGUGGAGUGUGUGUGUGUUGUGUGUGUGUGGAGUGUGUGUGUGGAGUGUGUGUGUGGAGUGUGUGUGUGGAGUGUGUGUUGUGCGUGUGUGGAGUGUGUGUGUGUUGUGUGUGUGUGGAGUGUGUGUGUGUGGAGUGUGUGUGUUGUGUGUGUGUGGAGUGUGUGUGUGUUGUGUGUGUGUGGAGUGUGUGUGUGGAGUGUGUGUGUGGAGUGUGUGUGUGGAGUGUGUGUGUGUUGUGUGUGUGUGGAGUGUGUGUGUGGAGUGUGUGGCUCCUCGGGUAGAAGAUCUCAGACUUAACCUUGAACUUCAGGAGGAAAUUAGAGAGUAAACUGAGAGACAGAGCUCUGGCUCAGAGCAGCUUUACUCCAAAUCCUACACGCUGAUUGUGU
Ictalurus punctatus (channel catfish) is the source of this 920-nucleotide long non-coding RNA. NCBI's taxonomy places the organism in Eukaryota, Metazoa, Chordata, Actinopteri, Siluriformes, Ictaluridae. The record is from Ensembl.